UAGGGAAUCUUCCACAAUGGACGCAAGUCUGAUGGAGCAACGCCGCGUGAGUGAAGAAGGUCUUAGGAUCGUAAAGCUCUGUUGUUGGUGAAGAAGGAUAGAGGCAGUAACUGGUCUUUAUUUGACGGUAAUCAACCAGAAAGUCACGGCUAACUACGUGCCAGCAGCCGCGGUAAUACGUAGGUGGCAAGCGUUGUCCGGAUUUAUUGGGCGUAAAGCGAGCGCAGGCGGAAUGAUAAGUCCGAUGUGAAAGCCCACGGCUCAACCGUGGAACUGCAUCGGAAACUGUCAUUCUUGAGUGCAGAAGAGGAGAGUGGAACUCCAUGUGUAGCGGUGGAAUGCGUAGAUAUAUGGAAGAACACCAGUGGCGAAGGCGGCUCUCUGGUCUGCAACUGACGCUGAGGCUCGAAAGCAUGGGUAGCGAACAGGAUUAGAUACCCUGGUAGUCCAUGCC
RNAcentral lists this ribosomal RNA (454 nucleotides) under uncultured bacterium. RNAcentral describes it as "partial 16S ribosomal RNA". It matches the Rfam family "Bacterial small subunit ribosomal RNA", at positions 355 to 801 of the family's 1533-position model. The record is from RNAcentral.